RNAcentral lists this ribosomal RNA (119 nucleotides) under uncultured bacterium. RNAcentral describes it as "partial 16S ribosomal RNA". It matches the Rfam family "Bacterial small subunit ribosomal RNA", at positions 1358 to 1482 of the family's 1533-position model. The record is from RNAcentral.
UACGGUGAAUACGUUCCCGGACCUUGUACACACCGCCCGUCAAGCCUUUAUGGAAGCCGGGUGUACCUAAAGUCGGUAACCGCAAGGAGCCGCCUAGGGUAAAACUGGUGACUGGGGCU